This 254-nucleotide ribosomal RNA is filed under the name uncultured bacterium. RNAcentral describes it as "partial 16S ribosomal RNA". It matches the Rfam family "Bacterial small subunit ribosomal RNA", at positions 524 to 776 of the family's 1533-position model. The record is from RNAcentral.
UACGUAGGGGGCGAGCGUUGUCCGGAUUUAUUGGGCGUAAAGAGCUCGUAGGCGGCUUGGCAAGUCGGGUGUGAAACCUCCAGGCUCAACCUGGAGCCGCCAUUCGAUACUGCUAUGGCUAGAGUCCGGUAGGGGAGUGUGGAAUUCCCGGUGUAGCGGUGAAAUGCGCAGAUAUCGGGAGGAACACCGAUGGCGAAGGCAGCACUCUGGGCCGGUACUGACGCUGAGGAGCGAAAGCGUGGGGAGCGAACAGG